This 401-nucleotide ribosomal RNA is filed under the name uncultured bacterium. RNAcentral's name for it is "bacterial SSU rRNA". It matches the Rfam family "Bacterial small subunit ribosomal RNA", at positions 356 to 774 of the family's 1533-position model. The record is from RNAcentral.
CGGGAAUUUUGGGCAAUGGGCGAAAGCCUGACCCAGCAACGCCGCGUGAGGGAUGAAGUAUUUCGGUAUGUAAACCUCGAAAGAAUGGGAAGAAUAAAUGACGGUACCAUUUAUAAGCUCCGGCUAACUACGUGCCAGCAGCCGCGGUAAUACGUAGGGAGCAAGCGUUGUUCGGAUUUACUGGGCGUAAAGGGCGCGUAGGCGGCGCGGUAAGUCACUUGUGAAAUCUCUGAGCUUAACUCAGAACGGCCAAGUGAUACUGCUGGGCUAGAGUGCGGAAGAGGCAACCGGAAUUCUUGGUGUAGCGGUGAAAUGCGUAGAUAUCAAGAGGAACACCUGAGGCGAAGGCGGGUUGCUGGGCCGACACUGACGCUGAUGCGCGAAAGCCAGGGGAGCAAACG